UCCCUGGUGGCUCAAACAGUAAAGACUCUGCCUGCAAAGUGGGAGACCCAAGUUCGAUUCUUGGUUUGGGAA
This 72-nucleotide transfer RNA is filed under the name Bos taurus (domestic cattle). It matches the Rfam family "tRNA". From Rfam's summary of the family: Transfer RNA (tRNA) molecules are approximately 80 nucleotides in length. Their secondary structure includes four short double-helical elements and three loops (D, anti-codon, and T loops). The record is from Rfam by way of RNAcentral. RNAcentral also lists the same sequence under 4 other names. Lineage: Eukaryota; Metazoa; Chordata; Mammalia; Artiodactyla; Bovidae.